Molecule: ribosomal RNA, 492 nt
Filed under: uncultured bacterium
Lineage: Bacteria
Description: partial 16S ribosomal RNA
Rfam family: Bacterial small subunit ribosomal RNA
Source: RNAcentral
AGUGAACGCUGGCGGUAGGCCUAACACAUGCAAGUCGAACGGCAGCACAGUAAGAGCUUGCUCUUACGGGUGGCGAGUGGCGGACGGGUGAGGAAUACAUCGGAAUCUACUUUUUCGUGGGGGAUAACGUAGGGAACCUUACGCUAAUACCGCAUACGACCUACGGGUGAAAGCAGGGGAUCUUCGGACCUUGCGCGAUUGAAUGAGCCGAUGUCGGAUUAGCUAGUUGGCGGGGUAAAGGCCCACCAAGGCGACGAUCCGGAGCUGGUCUGAGAGGAUGAUCAGCCACACUGGAACGGAGACACGGUCCAGACUCCUACGGGAGGCAGCAGUGGGGAAUAUUGGACAAUGGGCGCAAGCCUGAUCCAGCCAUACCGCGUGGGUGAAGAAGGCCUUCGGGUUGUAAAGCCCUUUUGUUGGGAAAGAAAAGCAGCAGGUUAAUACCCCGCUGUUCUGACGGUACCCAAAGAAUAAGCACCGGCUAACUUCGUG